Molecule: long non-coding RNA, 7545 nt
Filed under: Nicotiana benthamiana
Lineage: Eukaryota; Viridiplantae; Streptophyta; Magnoliopsida; Solanales; Solanaceae
Description: long non-coding RNA (NBEN_LNC016957)
Source: RNAcentral
ACAGUGCAAAGAAAAUGAAUAAUCGUGUUACAAUAUCCCUGAAUGAUAAAUAACUAAGGAAAUCACCCUAACAAAUAUACAAAAAUACAAAAUCAUAUAUAGUUUGAUGAGUUUAACUUAUAUACAUCAACAGUGCAAAGAAUCUAACAAAUAGUGUACAAAUUCUUGACAUUGUUGAUGCAUAUUAGUUAAACUCUUGAAUACAUUUGAAUCAAAUUAAUUACCUUUACUGAAUAUGAGCAUAAACCAGAAAGUAAAGCAGGUUAAAUAUAUCAACAUAAACUCCUGAAUAUAAGCAGAAGCAACAAAGCAGGUACAAUAUAUUAACCGGACUAGCUACCCAGAGGGGUUAAUCUUUUUCUUGUCAUUCUUGAAAGAGGACACCACCGUUUUCACCACCUUUUCAGCAGCCAUGGCCUUCACUGACUUUUUGUCCUUCUUUGGGAACACGCUUCCUUUCUUAGCUGUACUGCUUUCACCGAUAUAUCCUUUCCCUUUUCCAUUAUUAUUGUCCAUCUCUUCAGAUCUCUUAUAGAGUUUAAGUAUAUAUAAAAAAGUGUAUGAAAUAUAUUGCGUUGUUGCUUAACUUGUGGUGUUUUCAGAAGUAGUUCAUAUGAGGUAUUUAUAGGAGUUGAGGCAUUGUUUUAUGGCUUACUCUGAUGUUUUUUCAUGUAAAUUCAGGUGAAUUUCUGAGUUAGCUCGAGCAAGAUUGAACGAACAUUGUUGUUCAUUAUUUCGUGCAUGGAAUGUGUGUGUCUAUGUGUGUGUGGGUAUUUGGAUUUUGCAAUAUAGUAUAUAUUCAUUUUUAUCUGAAGUCUGUGUUAUUAAAAAGAUUGUGUAAUUCGUUUGUUUGAGCCACAAAACUACUAAACUUUCAAGCUAAUUAAGUUUGCGAAAACUACUUAUUAUUUAAUUUUUUGUUGCAUGGUGUGCGUGGGUAUGUGUGUUUGUGUGGUGUUUGUAGCUAUUUCCCGGAAAUGAACUAGUACUACUUAAGAGAGUAGUCUAAUUUAAAAAAUAUUUGACUAAAUACGUAGAUUAUGGAGAUUAAGGACCGCUUUAUUUCUAGUGUGGAAUUUCUCGGAGAAUAGUCUAAUUUAAAAAAUAUUUGACUAAAUACGUAGAUUAUGGAUAGGUGGAGUUUGCAUUGCUUUUAAGCUUAUUAACUUUUUGAAUUUUUAAGGAGUGAUCUUUGUCAAGGACCGCUUUAUUUCUAGUGUUGAAUUUCUCGACGCGAAUUCGGAUCUAAUGCGGAUACUAAAUGCUGUGUGGAAAAUAAAAAAAUAUAUCUUUUUUUUAAUUGUAUAGAAAUUAAUCUUUUUACCUUUCAAUAUAAUGUUACUACCUUCAUUUCUAUCUUAAUUUUUCGGCGCGAAUUUGGAUUUAGUCGGGCUCCAACAAAGGUUUAGUUCAUAUGUGUGUUGCACUACAAUUGGCAUGCAUAAUCUACAUGCAGUUAUAGAGAUGUACCAUUCAUCUUAUCAGGCACACUUGGCAUAUUUUAUCCAUGUUAAACUUAAACUAUUAAAAUAAGAAAGCAUGUCUACAUUUUUGUACUGUUAAAUUCUGCAUUUGGAUUGUACUUGUCUGAGCUCGUCACUGCUUUCAGUCCAGGGUUAGUCUUGUUACUUAUUAAUUAAAUUGGGUCGGUUGUACUUAUACUACACUAUACUUUAUGUGCAGAUCCAAGUACUUCUGAGUAUAGCAGAGCUUUAUCUGUUGGAGACUAUCGAGCUAGCCGCCUUAGCGUCUGUAGGCCCUCACUCUCCAUCUUUUCAGUUUAUUUGUACUAUUAAAUCUUCCUAGAUAGUGUUUAGUAGUUAGACUAUAUUGUCAUUUAGAUGCUCAUGUACUCAGUGACACCCCAAUUCUGGGGGAUUUUGUAUUGAUUCGUGAUACUUUUUCUUAUCAGUAAAUUAUGAGGUUUUUACUAUUUAAGCUUAUUUUUGUAUGUUUUAAAAUAAAGAUGCGUGGUUAUUUGUGAAUUAUCAUCUUUUCUAGUAUUGCGAUAGUUCCCAUCCCGUCAUGUGAAAUUUCGGGUCGUGAUUCGAUGUUUGAUUGUCAUCACGAUGUGCUGCCUAGUCUUAGAAAUGAAUGUUGCCUAUCAUUCACGAAGAAUAAACUUCGCCGACCACAAAAUUACCCUAUGCGUUCGCGGCAUAGCGCUCACAAAUUACUUGAAGUUGCACUGUGAGAUAAGGAGACUAAAACGUGUGUAGUUGUUCUACGAAAAAAUUAUUUUUAAAAUAAAUACAAGGUUUAAGCGGUGAUAUAAAGAAUAUUGUGAUUAUGACUUAUGAAAUAUAUAUAUAUAUAUAUAUAUAUAUAUAUAUAUAUAUAUAUGAAGAAUAAACUUCGCCGACCACAAAAUUACCCUAUGCGUUCGCGGCAUAGCGCUCCCAAAUUACUUGAAGUUGCACUAUGAGAUAAGGGGACUAAAACGUGUGUAGUUGUUCUACGAAAAAAUUAUUUUUAAACUAAAUACAAGGUUUAAGCGGUGAUAUAAAGAAUAUUGUGAUUAUGACUUAUGAAAUAUAUAUAUGAAAAUGAGUCGUGAUGCCUCAAUUGUGAUUCUUCUUGUACAUUUUAUAUUAAAAUAGCUUGGUGAUGGAACAGUUAUUGUUAUUCCUUCAUUUGUUUUACUCGUGUUUGACUGUAUUUUAUUACAUGUUGCUCUUAUCGUAUGCUCAUUCUUGCUUUCCAUUAUUACCUUAUAAAUAUCAGUUAUAAGUUUUACAUCAUUGUGAUGCGGUGAGUUCGGAGGUUGCUUAUGAGAUUUCAUUGCCUCCUAGACUAGCAAGAGCUCAUCCGUUAUUCCACAUUUCUAUGCUCCGAAAGAAUCACGGCUAUUCGUCUCAUGUGUUGGAUUUCAGCUCAGUUUAGUUGGACAUGGAUUUAUCUUAUGUUGAGGAGCCGGUGGCUAUUUUUGACAUGUCGGAUUGAAAGUUGAAGCCAAAGAACAUUGUUUUGGUGAAGGUUCAGUGGAGGGGUUAGCCGGUUGAGGAGGUGACUUGGGAGACUAAGCAUGAUAUGCGUAGUUGUUAUCCUCAUCUUUUCACCACGUCAGGUAUGUCUAAGAAGGGGAGGAUGUAACGACCCGGCCAGUCCUUUUGAGAGUAAUAUCCCCGAUACCCUUAUUACUGCUUUCCGUGUAUCAUAUUACGCUUACAUAAUAUGAUGGGAUGUUUUUUUUCGGUUUAGGAGUGAAUUGGGACACUUAGUCCCUAGAAUGAAGCCUAAGUUCUAAGAAUUUGACCGUAUCUAGAAGUAUGUGAAGACGACUUCGGAAUGGAGUUUUGUUAGUUCCUAUAGCACCGUUGGGAUAUUUUGGACAGGAGCAUAUCCAGAUUGUGAUUUAGAGGUCCGUAGCCGAAUUGGGAUUGAAAUAGUAAAAGUUGAAUUUUUUAUAAGUUUGACUAGGAGUGUACUUUCUGAUACUAGUGUUGUGUUCUGAUUACAAAAAGUGUAGUAGCUCCUUAAUGUCAAAUACGACAUGUCUACAUAAUUUGAUAUCAUUCGGAUGUGAUUUGAUAGUUUUCGACAUCGGUUGUAGGUGUUUGAAGUUUCAAAGUUUAUUAUGCUUGAUCUGGAUUUCUAAUGUUGUUUGAUGUAUUUGAAGGCUCAACUAGGUCCGUAUCAUAUUUUAGGAUAAGUUAGUAUAAUUGGUUGAGGUCCCGGGGGGCUCGGUUAGAUUAUAGGUUAUUAACCGACUAGAGUUGGACUUGUAGGAAUUGCAGAAAAUCUGGUGCUUCAGUUGUUCGUUUCCUUCAUCGCAUCCGCGACUGAUGUCUCGCAUUUGUGUAAGGUAUCUAGGAGGCCAAUUGAGUUUUGUUCUUCAUGUUUACGAUGUAGUUCCCACAUUCAUGAAGCUGUGGAGCAUUUAUUAUACGCGUACACGGUACUGUAAGGUAUCUAGGAGGCCAGUUGAGUUUUGUUCUUCGUGUUUACGAUGUAGUUCCCACAUUCAUGAAGCUGUGGAGCAUUUAUUAUACGCGUACACGGUAGGCGUUACACAUUCGCAUAGAGGAAUGUCAGAUGGGCUCUAGGAAUUUAGCCUACGUGUUCGUGAUAAGGGUCCUGCAUUCACGAAGGGUAUGACAAGUGAAGCUCCACAUUCAUGAAAGGUCCCAGGCAUUCGAGAAGGAGAAUGUUUGGUAGUAGAGUUUCUGGUGCUUCGCGAAUGCAAGGAAUCUUCCGCGUUCACGAUGAAGAAAAGACCUGGGAAGAUUUAAUCAUUUCAAAUUGAGGGUUUUGCCAUUUUCAUCAUAACUUGAGAUAGAGAGCUCGGAUUUAAGAUAUAUUUUGAGGAAUUUUCAGAGGCAAUGAUUAGCUAAUGAUUCUUGAAUCGUUUAUGGUUAUAUGGCACUAAUCAAUCAUUCAUUUCAUCUUUUACUUUAAGAUUUGGGUUAAUAAAUUUGGAAAAAAAAGUUGAAAAGUUCUUCAACCAAAUUUCUGGGUUUUGGUUAGCAUUUUUGCAUAGAAUUUGAAUAAUUUUGAAACGAGUUCAUUCGUGAAUGGAUGUUUGUAUUUUGUAACAUUUACCCUAUUUCGAGAAGUAGACCUGGGUUGACUUUUUGGGGAGAAUUUCUAAUUUCUUGUUAAAGUCAUGAUUUCAAAAAUUGGAUUAGAUUCUUAUAGUUAUACUUAUGGUAUGUAAUUGCUUUUGGCUAGAUUUGGGUCAUUCAGAGUUAAAAAUUCAAGGAAAGGACAUUCUUAUUGAUUGAUCAAGCUUGGUUCGAGGUAGUCGCUUGCCUUACCUUGUGUGGGGAAAAUACUCAUAUGAUUUGGUACUGUUGUGAUAAUUUCGUGAUAUGUGAGUGUCGUGUACGCAAGGUAACGAGUGCGGACACGGACUAAUUUUUGUAAAAUCUUGUUUUUACUGAGCAAUAAUUUGCUACAUCUUCAUUGAAUUAUACCAGCAUGUGUAGUUAUCAUGUUUAGCCUAAUAUCGGAUGUCUACGUGUCUUUUUGCUUAUUUGAAACAUGUACAUCAUUCUUAGUUGAUUUCCUAUUUUUUUUUUUACUUUNNNNNNNNNNNNNNNNNNNNNNNNNNNNNNNNNNNNNNNNNNNNNNNNNNNNNNNNNNNNNNNNNNNNNNNNNNNNNNNNNNNNNNNNNNNNNNNNNNNNNNNNNNNNNNNNNNNNNNNNNNNNNNNNNNNNNNNNNNNNNNNNNNNNNNNNNNNNNNNNNNNNNNNNNNNNNNNNNNNNNNNNNNNNNNNNNNNNNNNNNNNNNNNNNNNNNNNNNNNNNNNNNNNNNNNNNNNNNNNNNNNNNNNNNNNNNNNNNNNNNNNNNNNNNNNNNNNNNNNNNNNNNNNNNNNNNNNNNNNNNNNNNNNNNNNNNNNNNNNNNNNNNNNNNNNNNNNNNNNNNNNNNNNNNNNNUGACAAAUCUCAAAAUUUAAUCAAGGACCUUAUCAAAAUAAUCAAACAAUUGAUAAUAAUGAUAAAAGAAUAUCAAAUGCCAUAUAUUUUAUAUCAAACGACAUUCACAAAAAUAUUUUCAAGUUAUCAAAUAUGAUAUUAGAUCUAGGGCAUAUCAACUAUAUCCCUAACAAACACAUGUACCUCCUACCAGCCCCGCAACUAGUCGAGAGUAUUUGUUGCAGCUUUCGGAGGUUUCAAUGUACAUCUGCCAACGUCCGCAGACUUUGAGUCCCUCUCUAUCCUUUAUGUUUUCCUUCUUAUUGCUCAUAGACACUAAUGCAUAGAGACAGUUAAAGUUUUUCCCUACAGCUUGUGACGUGUGACAAUCGGAGCUUUGCGGAGUUGCUUGUACUCAAAAUUAUUUAUUUUAUUUGUACAUGUCGAGUGGUAGUUUUCCUGAUUUAUAGAUAUAUAUGCUUGUUAUUGACAAUGUUUGGUAGUUAUUUCUGUUGUUGUUCAGUUUUUCCGUAACUACUAGGCUUACCUAGUGUUAGAGAAUAGGUAUCGUCAUGACAUCUUAUAGGGGAGAUUUAGGUCGUGACAAUGGUCCUGCCUAUUUACAUUCGACAUUCAUACAUGUUUUCCAUUAGUACCAUCUGCCUUAUAUUCCAUUAAACGGUUAAGAUUGAAGAAUAUAAUUAUUUGUAUGCACAAUAACACGAUGAAGAGGAGGGGGAAAUGAGACAACGAUGUUCCACUAUCAAAGAGGAACAUAAAACAAAUGAAAACGAUGACUCGUAUUCAUCUAAAUAUAGCAUGAAAAAUCAAGCAAAUUCUUUACACUCCCUACGUAUAUAUAACCUGAGGAUGGAAUGUUGUACUCAACUUAACCCGUGUGCCCAACUCUCGUUUCAUUGCUCUUCAAAAUUGCGAUCUGUACUGCAUGCCUAGGUAAAAAGGAUGGAAAUGGGCGUGUCAUGCGCGGAUAAUCCCUCGGAUGUAAAUAUGAUCCAACCGCUCUACAAAAUAGGAUGUCACAAUCAAAAUGAAGUGUACGGACUUAGCCAACCGGCACACAUGUACCCAAACAACAUCAUAUUUCUUCAAGGUCCGUGGCAAUCCUACCACAAAAUCCAUAGUGAUGUGUUCCCAUUUUCACUCUGGUAUCUCCGAUCUCUGAAUUAACCCUCCCGUAAUUAAUUCUGUACCUCACCUAAUUGAAGGCCAAGUUGCUAUCGAAGUAUUGAAAUUGAAUGAAAAAGACUAGUAUUAUUUUGCAACGAAUUGGAUAUCAAUGUACUAUUUCCUUAACUGCUAUCGGAGAACCAAAGUACUAAAUUUGACUCAAAAAAGUUGUAAUAAAUUAAUCAUUAACUUCCAUUCGUUUUGACCAGAUAUAUAUAGCGUCUGAUAUGUAUACCUAUUGGGAGUACUGUUUAUAAGAGCUACUAUGUGCUAUAUAUAGCAUAUUUUUUUGUACUCAAUUGAAUGGUUAUUAAUGGUGUUGAAUUUUUCAUUAAGAAUAAAUUUAUAAACUUAUUUGUGCGUGAAUUCAUCGGAACUAAUGUACGAUCAAGAGAAAAAAGAAUAGACAACAGUGCAAAGAAAAUGAAUAAUCGUGUUACAAUAUCCCUGAAUGAUAAAUAACUAAGGAAAUCACCCUAACAAAUAUACAAAAAUACAAAAUCAUAUAUAGUUUGAUGAGUUUAACUUAUAUACAUCAACAGUGCAAAGAAUCUAACAAAUAGUGUACAAAUUCUUGACAUUGUUGAUGCAUAUUAGUUAAACUCUUGAAUACAUUUGAAUCAAAUUAAUUACCUUUACUGAAUAUGAGCAUAAACCAGAAAGUAAAGCAGGUUAAAUAUAUCAACAUAAACUCCUGAAUAUAAGCAGAAGCAACAAAGCCUGAAUGUGAGCAUAAACCAGAAACUAAAGCAGGUUAAAUGUAUCAACCGGACUACUCAUAAUUGGAAUCAGAGGGGUUAAUCUUUUUCUUGUCGUUCUUGAAAGAGGACACCAUAGCUUUCACCACCUUUUCAGCAGCCAUAGCUUUCACUUCCUUUAUUUGAUGUGCCUUCACCAUAUCCUUUUCCAUUUUCACUGUUCUCUAUCUCUCUUUCUAGCUCUUAGAAUUUAUGUCUGUAUAUAAGGAAGUGUAAUCUAAUAAUUUCUUUAGGUUUGUUG